RNAcentral lists this ribosomal RNA (301 nucleotides) under uncultured bacterium. RNAcentral describes it as "partial 16S ribosomal RNA". It matches the Rfam family "Bacterial small subunit ribosomal RNA", at positions 509 to 807 of the family's 1533-position model. The record is from RNAcentral.
CAGUCGCCGCGGUAAUACAGAGGGUGCGAGCGUUAAUCGGAUUUACUGGGCGUAAAGCGUGCGUAGGCGGCUAAUUGAGUCGGAUUUGAAAUCCCCGAGCUUAACUUGGGAAUUGCAUUCGAUACUGGUUAGCUAGAGUGUGGGAGAGGAUGGUAGAAUUCCAGGUGUAGCGGUGAAACGCGUAGAGAUCUGGAGGAAUACCGAUGGCGAAGGCAGCCAUCUGGCCUAACACUGACGCUGAGGUACGAAAGCAUGGGGAGCAAACAGGAUUAGAUACCCGCGUAGUCCCUGUCUCUUAUAC